This is a non-coding RNA of Homo sapiens (human), 148 nucleotides long. It matches the Rfam family "Metazoan signal recognition particle RNA". Rfam says of the family: The signal recognition particle (SRP) is a universally conserved ribonucleoprotein. It is involved in the co-translational targeting of proteins to membranes. The record is from Rfam. Lineage: Eukaryota; Metazoa; Chordata; Mammalia; Primates; Hominidae.
GCCAGGCAUAGUGGUGGAUGCCUGUAGUCCCAGCUACUUGGGAGGCUGAGGCAGGAGAAUUGCUUGAACCCAGGAGGCGGAGGUGGCAGUGAGCCGAGAUCGGGCCACUGCACUCCAGCCUGGGAGACAGAGUGAGACUCUGUCUCAA